Molecule: ribosomal RNA, 96 nt
Filed under: Conticribra weissflogii
Lineage: Eukaryota; Bacillariophyta; Thalassiosirophyceae; Thalassiosirales; Thalassiosiraceae
Description: partial Bacterial large subunit ribosomal RNA
Source: RNAcentral
CUGAGGAAAGGCCUAUCAAACUUAGAGGUAGCUGGUUUUCUGCGAAGUCUAUUUAAGUAAAGUGCCCAAAAUGCUUUGUUUUAAGGUAUAGCGCUC